This 425-nucleotide ribosomal RNA is filed under the name Pseudomonas sp. CL3.5. RNAcentral describes it as "bacterial SSU rRNA". It matches the Rfam family "Bacterial small subunit ribosomal RNA", at positions 83 to 503 of the family's 1533-position model. The record is from RNAcentral. Lineage: Bacteria; Pseudomonadati; Pseudomonadota; Gammaproteobacteria; Pseudomonadales; Pseudomonadaceae.
ACCUGGUGGCGAGCGGCGGACGGGUGAGUAAUGCCUAGGAAUCUGCCUGGUAGUGGGGGAUAACGCUCGGAAACGGACGCUAAUACCGCAUACGUCCUACGGGAGAAAGCAGGGGACCUUCGGGCCUUGCGCUAUCAGAUGAGCCUAGGUCGGAUUAGCUAGUUGGUGAGGUAAUGGCUCACCAAGGCGACGAUCCGUAACUGGUCUGAGAGGAUGAUCAGUCACACUGGAACUGAGACACGGUCCAGACUCCUACGGGAGGCAGCAGUGGGGAAUAUUGGACAAUGGGCGAAAGCCUGAUCCAGCCAUGCCGCGUGUGUGAAGAAGGUCUUCGGAUUGUAAAGCACUUUAAGUUGGGAGGAAGGGCAGUUACCUAAUACGUAUCUGUUUUGACGUUACCCGACAGAAUAAGCACCGGCUAACUU